RNAcentral lists this ribosomal RNA (483 nucleotides) under uncultured bacterium. RNAcentral describes it as "partial 16S ribosomal RNA". It matches the Rfam family "Bacterial small subunit ribosomal RNA", at positions 899 to 1397 of the family's 1533-position model. The record is from RNAcentral.
ACUCAAAUGAAUUGACGGGGGCCCGCACAAGCAGCGGAGCGUGUGGUUUAAUUCGAGGCUACACGAAGAACCUUACCUGGGUUUGACAUAGGCGUAGUAGGGAACCGAAAGGGGACCGACCUUCGGGAGCGCUUACAGGUGCUGCAUGGCUGUCGUCAGCUCGUGCCGUGAGGUGUUCGGUUAAGUCCGCAAACGAGCGCAACCCCUGGUGCUAGUUACACGUGUCUAGCGCGACUGCCCGUGAGAAACGGGAGGAAGGUGGGGAUGAUGUCAAGUCAGCAUGGCCUUUAUAUCCAGGGCUACACACACGCUACAAUGGGCGGUACAAUGGGUUGCGAAGUUGUGAAACGGAGCCAAUCCUCAAAGCCGUUCGUAGUUCGGAUUGCAGGCUGCAACUCGCCUGCAUGAAGUCGGAGUUGCUAGUAACCGCAGGUCAGCUAUACUGCGGUGAAUACGUUCCCGGGCCUUGCACACACCGCCCGU